Cyprinus carpio carpio is the source of this 1473-nucleotide long non-coding RNA. NCBI's taxonomy places the organism in Eukaryota, Metazoa, Chordata, Actinopteri, Cypriniformes, Cyprinidae. The record is from Ensembl.
CAUUUUUGACUGACCCAAAACAAAAUUCAACAAUUGACAUUCAAAAGACCUUCUUCUUACAUAUUUAAAACCACAAAUAAACAUUUGCAUAGAAAAUACCUCAUUAAAAGAUGUCAAAAGAUUCUCCAAAACAUGGAAUAAAGGUUUCAAUCUGCAACAAUACAUAAAAGUGUGAAACACGGUUUCUCUUUGACCACAAAAAGGACAAUCAGGACUUAUUUCCGGAUUCAACACCGAAAUGAAAGCAUUUACAGCUAUAACUCCAUGUAGAAUCCUCCACUGAAUAUCACCCCCCUCUUGGGUAACGGUGGCCUAUAUAGUGCUCUCCAUUCUGGUUUACACUCUUUGCUUAGCCCAAGGACAUUACGCCAUGGAGUAUCACAUCUGUUAUUCAAGACUUUUUUAUUGAAAACCUUCACACAACUUUUAUACACCUCUUUAACAUUCAGAGAAUCAUCACAAAAACAUAUAUCUCUCUUCACCAAAAAAGGGCCAUCACAUUCUUCCAGUUUCCAACAGACAAGAUUAAAGUAUAAAAGGAGUCCUCCUCAUUAGGCUUCAAGAUUCCUUGACAAAAGUCUGCGAGGAUUUUUAAUUCCUCCUCUAACAAUGCUGACUUCCAUUUUGUUAGAAUUUGCCGAACCAACCUAAUGGAUUUAAUGCCCAGCUUUACAGCACUUUGGUUAAAUUGCCAGCACUUGCAGAAAGAAAAGAGACGUUUCCUGCAUUGUCAGAACGAGUCCCAUUAAGCAAUGGUUCUUGCAGUAACCAAUAAAGUGUCCUUGGAUUCUGUUCAACAAAAAUAUUAAACAGAUUCCAAACUUUAAAAAUGUUCUUGUAAAAAAUUGGUGCAUCUGAUGUGUUUACUUUCAGAGGAUCCAUUAAAAAGAGAGUUUUAUCAAAGCCUAGGCCUCCCACACUCUUUAAAAUCUCACAUGAAACAACUUUCCAGUUAGAGUCAAAGGAUCCAUACAACAGUCUGUGUAUAAAACGCAUACGAAAAGUAGCAAUUCUGCUUUGCACAUUAAUAAGACCUUGACCUCCUUCAUCCUUGGAUAAAAAUAGCACACUUUGGGAUACCCAAUGUAAUUUUUCCCAAAAGAAGCCUACCAGGACUUUCUGAAUCUCUACAAGUAGAUUUAAAGGAGGAUCCAGGCAGGCUAAGCGAUGCCACAAAGAGGAGGCCACAAGGUUGUUUAUAAUAAGAAUACGCCCCCUGUAGGACAUUUUCGGAAACAACCACUUCCAUUUAUUUAAUCUUCCUUUGACAUUUUCAAGAACAUUGUCCCAGUUUUUCUUUACAAUGGAAUCAUCUCCAAGAAAAACACCCAGGUACUUAAAACCUCCUUUAGACCAAAGUAAACCAUUUGGGAGUAUUGGAAUACCCUGUGACCAAUGUCCAACCAAAAUUGCUUCACUCUUGGCCCAAUUUACUGUAGCUGAUGAUAUCUCUUUAAAAUCAUUUAAAAUAUU